RNAcentral lists this ribosomal RNA (497 nucleotides) under uncultured bacterium. RNAcentral's name for it is "partial 16S ribosomal RNA". It matches the Rfam family "Bacterial small subunit ribosomal RNA", at positions 28 to 507 of the family's 1533-position model. The record is from RNAcentral.
GAUGAACGCUGGCGGCGUGCCUAACACAUGCAAGUCGAGCGAACAGACGAGGAGCUUGCUCCUCUGACGUUAGCGGCGGACGGGUGAGUAACACGUGGAUAACCUACCUAUAAGACUGGGAUAACUUCGGGAAACCGGAGCUAAUACCGGAUAAUAUAUUGAACCGCAUGGUUCAAUAGUGAAAGACGGUUUUGCUGUCACUUAUAGAUGGAUCCGCGCCGCAUUAGCUAGUUGGUAAGGUAACGGCUUACCAAGGCAACGAUGCGUAGCCGACCUGAGAGGGUGAUCGGCCACACUGGAACUGAGACACGGUCCAGACUCCUACGGGAGGCAGCAGUAGGGAAUCUUCCGCAAUGGGCGAAAGCCUGACGGAGCAACGCCGCGUGAGUGAUGAAGGUCUUCGGAUCGUAAAACUCUGUUAUUAGGGAAGAACAAAUGUGUAAGUAACUAUGCACGUCUUGACGGUACCUAAUCAGAAAGCCACGGCUAACUACGUG